Molecule: ribosomal RNA, 433 nt
Filed under: uncultured bacterium
Lineage: Bacteria
Description: partial 16S ribosomal RNA
Rfam family: Bacterial small subunit ribosomal RNA
Source: RNAcentral
AACGAACGCUGGCGGCAUGCCUAACACAUGCCAGUCGAACGAGACCUUCGGGUCUAGGGGCGCACGGGUGCGUAACGCGGGGGAACCUGCCCUUAGGUUCGGAAUAACUCCCCGAAAGGGGUGCUAAUACCGGAUAAUGUCUUCGGACCAAAGAGUUAUCGCCUUUGGAUGGGCCCGCGUUGGAUUAGCUAGUUGGUAGGGUAAAAGCCUACCAAGGCGACGAUCCAUAGCUGGUCGGAGAGGAUGAUCCUCCACACUGGGACUGCGACCCGGCCCAGAAUGCGACGGGAGGGAGCAGUGGGGAAUAUUGGACAAUGGGCGCAAGCCUGACACAGCCAUGCCGCGUGAGUGAUGAAGGCCUUAGGGUUGUAAAGCUCUUUUACCCGGGAUGAUAAUGACAGUACCGGGAGAAUAAGCACCGGCUAACUCCGUG